AUUGAACGCUGGCGGCAGGCUUAACACAUGCAAGUCGAGCGGGGGAAGGUAGCUUGCUACCGGACCUAGCGGCGGACGGGUGAGUAAUGCUUAGGAAUCUGCCUAUUAGUGGGGGACAACAUCUCGAAAGGGAUGCUAAUACCGCAUACGUCCUACGGGAGAAAGCAGGGGAUCUUCGGACCUUGCGCUAAUAGAUGAGCCUAAGUCGGAUUAGCUAGUUGGUGGGGUAAAGGCCUACCAAGGCGACGAUCUGUAGCGGGUCUGAGAGGAUGAUCCGCCAAGCUGUGACUGGGACGCGGGCCAGACUCCUACUGGAAGCAGCAGUGGGGAAUAUUGGACAAUGGGGGGAAACCUGAUCCAGCCAUGCCGCGUGUGUGAAGAAGGCCUUAUGGUUGUAAAGCACUUUAAGCAAGGAGGAGGCUACUCUAGUUAAUACCUAGGGAUAGUGGACGUUACUCGCAGAAUAAGCACCGGCUAACUCUGUGCCAGCCGCCGCGGUAA
This 501-nucleotide ribosomal RNA is filed under the name uncultured bacterium. Its description in RNAcentral is "partial 16S ribosomal RNA". It matches the Rfam family "Bacterial small subunit ribosomal RNA", at positions 30 to 523 of the family's 1533-position model. The record is from RNAcentral.